Molecule: ribosomal RNA, 495 nt
Filed under: uncultured bacterium
Lineage: Bacteria
Description: partial 16S ribosomal RNA
Rfam family: Bacterial small subunit ribosomal RNA
Source: RNAcentral
UGAACGCUGGCGGCGUGCCUAAUACAUGCAAGUCGAGCGAACAGACGAGGAGCUUGCUCCUCUGACGUUAGCGGCGGACGGGUGAGUAACACGUGGAUAACCUACCUAUAAGACUGGGAUAACUUCGGGAAACCGGAGCUAAUACCGGAUAAUAUAUUGAACCGCAUGGUUCAACAGUGAAAGACGGUUUUGCUGUCACUUAUAGAUGGAUCCGCGCCGCAUUAGCUAGUUGGUAAGGUAACGGCUUACCAAGGCAACGAUGCGUAGCCGACCUGAGAGGGUGAUCGGCCACACUGGAACUGAGACACGGUCCAGACUCCUACGGGAGGCAGCAGUAGGGAAUCUUCCGCAAUGGGCGAAAGCCUGACGGAGCAACGCCGCGUGAGUGAUGAAGGUCUUCGGAUCGUAAAACUCUGUUAUUAGGGAAGAACAAAUGUGUAAGUAACUAUGCACGUCUUGACGGUACCUAAUCAGAAAGCCACGGCUAACUACGUG